UGGUUUUUGUGUGUGUGUUUGUGGGGCAUCCGUUGUUCGUUGAUGCUCAUGCAAUUUUCUUGCUUUUCAUGCCGCCAGAACCUUUGCCGUGGGACAGGAAAGACCUCUUCAAGGAGAGGAAACACGAGAAGUCGGAGGCCAUAGGGUCUGCGGCCAGAUGGCGGGACUCUUAUCAUGGAUCUCGCGAGUUCAAUCGGUGGGGUUCUGCUGACUUUCGAAGACCUACUGGUCAUGGUAAGCAG
This 242-nucleotide unclassified non-coding RNA is filed under the name Hevea brasiliensis (rubber tree). The record is from RNAcentral. Lineage: Eukaryota; Viridiplantae; Streptophyta; Magnoliopsida; Malpighiales; Euphorbiaceae.